GAACGCUGAAGAGAGGAGCUUGCUCUUCUUGGAUGAGUUGCGAACGGGUGAGUAACGCGUAGGUAACCUGCCUUGUAGCGGGGGAUAACUAUUGGAAACGAUAGCUAAUACCGCAUAACAAUGGAUGACACAUGUCAUUUAUUUGAAAGGGGCAAUUGCUCCACUACAAGAUGGACCUGCGUUGUAUUAGCUAGUAGGUGAGGUAACGGCUCACCUAGGCGACGAUACAUAGCCGACCUGAGAGGGUGAUCGGCCACACUGGGACUGAGACACGGCCCAGACUCCUACGGGAGGCAGCAGUAGGGAAUCUUCGGCAAUGGGGGCAACCCUGACCGAGCAACGCCGCGUGAGUGAAGAAGGUUUUCGGAUCGUAAAGCUCUGUUGUAAGUCAAGAACGAGUGUGAGAGUGGAAAGUUCACACUGUGACGGUAGCUUACCAGAAAGGGACGGCUAACUACGUGCCAGCAGCCGCGGUAAUACGUAGGUCCCGAGCGUUGUCCGGAUUUAUUGGGCGUAAAGCGAGCGCAGGCGGUUUGAUAAGUCUGAAGUUAAAGGCUGUGGCUCAACCAUAGUUCGCUUUGGAAACUGUCAAACUUGAGUGCAGAAGGGGAGAGUGGAAUUCCAUGUGUAGCGGUGAAAUGCGUAGAUAUAUGGAGGAACACCGGUGGCGAAAGCGGCUCUCUGGUCUGUAACUGACGCUGAGGCUCGAAAGCGUGGGGAGCGAACAGGAUUAGAUACCCUGGUAGUCCACGCCGUAAACGAUGAGUGCUAGGUGUUGGAUCCUUUCCGGGAUUCAGUGCCGCAGCUAACGCAUUAAGCACUCCGCCUGGGGAGUACGACCGCAAGGUUGAAACUCAAAGGAAUUGACGGGGGCCCGCACAAGCGGUGGAGCAUGUGGUUUAAUUCGAAGCAACGCGAAGAACCUUACCAGGUCUUGACAUCCCGAUGCUAUUUCUAGAGAUAGAAAGUUACUUCGGUACAUCGGUGACAGGUGGUGCAUGGUUGUCGUCAGCUCGUGUCGUGAGAUGUUGGGUUAAGUCCCGCAACGAGCGCAACCCCUAUUGUUAGUUGCCAUCAUUCAGUUGGGCACUCUAGCGAGACUGCCGGUAAUAAACCGGAGGAAGGUGGGGAUGACGUCAAAUCAUCAUGCCCCUUAUGACCUGGGCUACACACGUGCUACAAUGGUUGGUACAACGAGUUGCGAGUCGGUGACGGCAAGCUAAUCUCUUAAAGCCAAUCUCAGUUCGGAUUGUAGGCUGCAACUCGCCUACAUGAAGUCGGAAUCGCUAGUAAUCGCGGAUCAGCACGCCGCGGUGAAUACGUUCCCGGGCCUUGUACACACCGCCCGUCACACCACGAGAGUUUGUAACACCCGAAGUCGGUGAGGUAACCUUUNNAGCCAGC
RNAcentral lists this ribosomal RNA (1404 nucleotides) under Streptococcus sp. 2010_Ileo_MS_XIIIc. RNAcentral describes it as "bacterial SSU rRNA". It matches the Rfam family "Bacterial small subunit ribosomal RNA". Lineage: Bacteria; Bacillati; Bacillota; Bacilli; Lactobacillales; Streptococcaceae. The record is from RNAcentral.